Non-coding RNA from Acanthosepion pharaonis, 96 nucleotides. The record is from the annotation of a GenBank genome assembly. NCBI's taxonomy places the organism in Eukaryota, Metazoa, Mollusca, Cephalopoda, Sepiida, Sepiidae.
UCAACACCAGUUCCCGUACGAUCACCGAAGUUAAGCAACGUGGAGCGUGGUCAGUAGGUAUAUGCUUGACAGCUUGGGAAUACCAGGUGCUGUAAG